Molecule: ribosomal RNA, 748 nt
Filed under: uncultured Peptoniphilus sp.
Lineage: Bacteria; Bacillati; Bacillota; Tissierellia; Tissierellales; Peptoniphilaceae
Description: bacterial SSU rRNA
Rfam family: Bacterial small subunit ribosomal RNA
Source: RNAcentral
GACGAACGCUGGCGGCGCGCUUAACACAUGCAAGUCGAGCGAUGAAAUUUCGACAGAACCCUUCGGGGUGAAGAUGAAAUGGAUUAGCGGCGGACGGGUGAGUAACACGUGAGUAACCUGCCUUAGACAUUGGGAUAGCCUCGGGAAACCGGGAUUAAUACCAAAUGAAAUCACAUAUGCACAUGCAUAAAUGAUCAAAGCUCCGGCGGUCUAAGAUGGACUCGCGCCCCAUUAGCUAGUUGGUGAGGUAACGGCCCACCAAGGCGACGAUGGGUAGCCGGCCUGAGAGGGUGAACGGCCACAUUGGAACUGAGAAACGGUCCAAACUCCUACGGGAGGCAGCAGUGGGGAAUAUUGCACAAUGGAGGGAACUCUGAUGCAGCGACGCCGCGUGAACGAAGAAGGCUUUCGAGUCGUAAAGUUCUUUUAUAUGGGAAGAUAAUGACGGUACCAUAAGAAAAAGCCCCGGCUAACUACGUGCCAGCAGCCGCGGUAAUACGUAGGGGGCUAGCGUUGUCCGGAAUCACUGGGCGUAAAGGGUUCGCAGGCGGAAAUGUAAGUCAGGUGUAAAAGGCAGUAGCUUAACUACUGUAAGCAUUUGAAACUGCAUAUCUUGAGAAGAGUAGAGGUAAGUGGAAUUUUUAGUGUAGCGGUGAAAUGCGUAGAUAUUAAAAAGAAUACCGGUGGCGAAGGCGACUUACUGGGCUCAUUCUGACGCUGAGGAACGAAAGCGUGGGUAGCAAACAGG